AUGCAGAUCGCGCUCGAGGCCGUGAUCGACGACAAGCUGGCGGCCCCGCUGGAGUUCACGGGAGGGGAGGUUGGCGGCCCGGAUGGGGCGCUUGAGCUCGAGCACCCAAUGCAGCCCGACCUGAUCAGCGCUGCGUGCCGCCCCCCCCCCAUCCGCGCUCUUCCCCGCCCCCGCGCCGCCCCUGAUCCCCAGCGGCCCGUCAUCGUCCCCGUCUCCCGCUCCACGGAAGCGCCCUGCUGCUCCACCAAAAUCAAGGGCUGCUUCCGUGCCGGUGCGCCACAGUGCACGUCAGGCGGCCCUCAACUCCACGGUGCCGGUGGCUCAGCGUGCUGCGCUGCGGAUAGUCCAGGAGCUUGGCGGCCUCGGCUCAAAGGAGAGGAUGACCAUCAAGGCAGCUGA
This 399-nucleotide ribosomal RNA is filed under the name Triticum aestivum (bread wheat). Its description in RNAcentral is "partial small subunit ribosomal RNA". Lineage: Eukaryota; Viridiplantae; Streptophyta; Magnoliopsida; Poales; Poaceae. The record is from RNAcentral.